AUGCUUUGGACGGUGGACCGAACGGCCGUCCGAGACAAAGGUGGGCGAUUUGCUAUACAUCUGGUUGAUUGUCUCUCUCUAGCACCACUUCACUUCCUCAAUUCACUUCUUCACCACCGAACUACCUCGGGCGCUAGCUGCACUGCCGGCCAUGGCCACGCCCGCCACGAAGCUCAUCGCCGGCGCGUUCGUCGCCCUCCUUGCCCUCGCACUGGCGGGGGCGGACAAGGUGUGCGGCGACCGCCUCGUCACGCCGCCGCCGCCCCCGAGGUCGCCCUCCCCACCAGCCCGCCCAGCCGCGCCGCCGCGCCCGCUGCUCCCCUCGCCGCCGGCGAGCCACGGCAAGAAGACGGGGAAGAUCCUCGCGGGGAUCUUCGCCGCGCUCGCCGUCGCCGCCGCCAUCUUCUACGCGCUCUGGCUGCACUGCCGCGCCCCUGGCGCCGUCGCCGCCGCGCCACUCGGAGCCCGCGCCGCCGCCGGCGGGCCGCGCGAAUUCGAGGAUCAAGAUCCUGA
This 513-nucleotide ribosomal RNA is filed under the name Triticum aestivum (bread wheat). RNAcentral describes it as "partial small subunit ribosomal RNA". The record is from RNAcentral. Lineage: Eukaryota; Viridiplantae; Streptophyta; Magnoliopsida; Poales; Poaceae.